This 497-nucleotide ribosomal RNA is filed under the name uncultured bacterium. Its description in RNAcentral is "partial 16S ribosomal RNA". It matches the Rfam family "Bacterial small subunit ribosomal RNA", at positions 28 to 507 of the family's 1533-position model. The record is from RNAcentral.
GAUGAACGCUGGCGGUGUGCCUAAUACAUGCAAGUCGAGCGAACAGACGAGGAGCUUACUCCUCUGACGUUAGCGGCGGACGGGUGAGUAACACGUGGAUAACCUACCUAUAAGACUGGGAUAACUUCGGGAAACCGGAGCUAAUACCGGAUAACAUGUUGAACCGCAUGGUUCAACAGUGAAAGACGGUCUUGCUGUCACUUAUAGAUGGAUCCGCGUCGCAUUAGCUAGUUGGUAAGGUAACGGCUUACCAAGGCAACGAUGCGUAGCCGACCUGAGAGGGUGAUCGGCCACACUGGAACUGAGACACGGUCCAGACUCCUACGGAAGGCAGCAGUAGGGAAUCUUCCGCAAUGGGCGAAAGCCUGACGGAGCAACGCCGCGUGAGUGAAGAAGGUCUUCGGAUCGUAAAACUCUGUUAUUAGGGAAGAACAAAUGUGUAAGUAACUAUGCACGUCUUGACGGUACCUAAUCAGAAAGCCACGGCUAACUACGUG